AAGCCACAAACGGUCUUGCUUCCAGCACUUUGGGAAGCUAAGAAACAACUCACUCUUCACAGUGCUCUUACAGCUACCAGGAAUAUGUCUCACUAAGAUGUGUGAAACGCAGUUGCUUCCCAGCUGUGAUCUCGCUGAAGUAGAACUUCUGCUCACCCGUGUCCUACAUUGCCCUAGAGGUGCAAGGCACAAAGUCCUGUCUUGUUUCCUCAAGGGGAGACAGGCCACAAAGCGACUUCCUUCCAGCUCUUUGGGAAGCUAAGAAACAACUCGCUCUCCACAGAGCUCUUGCAGCCUCCCAGGAACAACUCUCUCAAAGGCCUGUGAAACGCAGUUUCUUCCCAGCCCUGAUCUUGCUGAAGUAGAACUUCUUCUCUGCCGUGUAAUACAUUGCCCUAGAGGUGGAAGUCACAAAGCACUCUCUGGCUUCCUUAAGUGGAGAUGGGCUACAGACCGUCCUGCUUCCAGUUCUUUCUCAAGGUGAGAAAGAACUCACUUUCCCCUGGGCUCUUACAGCCUACUCGGAACCUCUCAUACAAAGACCUGACGCAGUUUGUUUGGAGCACUAAUCCCGCCGCCUUGGAUCUUCUGCUCUAAGCCUUGUCCUACAUUGCUCUAGAGGUCGAAGUCACUAACACUGAUUCAUUACCUCCAAAGGAGACAAGCCACAAACGGUCUUGCUUCCAGCUCUUUGGGAAUCCAAGAAAUAACUCGCUCUCCACAGUGCUCUUACAGCCUACUGGGGACAUCUCUGAAACAGGCCUGUGAAACGCAGUUUCUUCCCAGCCGUGAUCUAGCUGGAGUAGAACUUCUGCUCCCCAGUGUAAUACUUUGCCCUAGAGGUGGAAAUCACAAAGCCCUGCCUGGCUUCCUUAAGAGGAGACAAGCCACAGACCAUCUGGCUUCCAGGUCUUUCUCAAGGUGAGAAAGAGCUCGCUUUCCCCUGGGCUCUUACAGCCUACCGGGAACCUCUCAUACAAAGACCUGAAACACAGCUUGAUUCCAGCUGAGGUCUCACUGCCCUGGAUCUUCUGCUCGAAGCCAUGUUCUACAUAGCUCUAGAGGUGGAAGUGCCAAAGCCCUGAGUCAUUGCCUCCACAGCAGACAAGCCACAAACAGUCUUGCUUCCAGCUCUUUAGGAAGCUAAGAAACACCUCGCACUCCACAGUGCUCUUACAGCCUACUGGGAUCAUCUCUCACAAAGGCUUGUGAAACGCAGCUUUUUCCCAACCCUGAUCUCACUGAAGUAGAACGUCUGCUCUGCUGUGUAAUACACUGCCCUAGAUGUGGAAGACACAAAUCCCUGCCUGGCAAACUCAAGAGGAGACAGGCCACAGACUCUUUUGCUUCCAGCUCUUUUGCAAUGUGAGAAAGAACUCACUUUCCCCGGGGCUGUUACAGUCUAGGGGGAACCUCUGAUACAAAGACCUGACACGCAGUAUGUUUCCAGCCCAGAUCUCGCCCCAUUGGAACUUCUGCUCUAAGCCGUGUUCUACAUGGUUCUAGAGAUGGAGGUCUCAAAGAGCUGGGUCAUAGCCUCCAAAGGAGACAAGCCACAAACGGUUGUGCUUCCAGGCAUUUGGGAAGCAAAGAAACAACUGGCUCUCCACGGUGCUCUUAGAGCCUGCUGGGAACAUCUCUUACAAAGGCCUUUGAAACGCAGUUUCUUUCCAGCCCUGAUCUCGCUGAAGUAGAACUUCUGCUCUGCCUUGUUAUACAUUGCCCUAGUGGUGGAAGUCACAAAGACCUCUCUGGGUUCCUUAAGAGGAGACAGGCUACAGACCGUCUUGCGUCCACCUCUUUCCCAAGGUGAGAAAGAAGUCGCUUUCCCCUGGGCUCUUACAGCCUACCGGGAACCUCUGAUACAAACACCUGAAACGCAGUUGGUUUCCUGCCCAUAUCUCGCCACUUUGGAAGUUCUGCUCUAAGCCAUGUCCUACAUUGCUCUAAAGGUGGAAGUGACAAAGUGCUGAGUCAUUGCCUCCAAAGGAGACAAGCCACAAAGGGUCUUGCUUCCAGCUCUUUGGGAAGCUAAGAAAAACUCUCUCUCCACAGUGCUCUCACAGCCUACCGGGAACAUCUCUUACAAAGGCCUGUGAAACGCAGUUUCUUUCCAGCCCUGAUCUCGCUCAGGUAGAUCUGCUCUGCCAUGUUCUCCAUUGCCCUAGAAGUCCAAGGCACAAAGUCCUGCCUUAUUUCCUCAAGGGGAGACAGGCCACAAAUCGUAUUGCUUCCAGCUCUUUGGGAAGGUAAGAAACAAUUCACUCUCCACAGUGCUCUUACAGCCUACCAGGAAAAUCCCUUACAAAGGCCUGUGAAACGCAGUUUCUUCCAGCCCUGAUCUAGCUGGAGUAGAAUUUCUGCUCUGCUGAGUAAUACAUUGCCCUAGAGGUGGACGUCGGAAAGCCCUGACUAGAUUUCUAUAGAGGAGUCAGGCCACAGACCGUCUUGCUUCCACCUCUUUUGCAAUGUGAGAAAGAAGUCGCUUACCCCUGGGCUCUUACUGUCUACUGGUAAACUCUCAUAUGAAGACCUGAAAUGAAGUUUGUUACGAGCCCAGAUCUCGCCACCUUGGAACUUCUGCUGAAAGCCGUGUCCUACAUUGCUCUAGAGGAGGAAGUGACAAAGCGUUGAGUCAUUGCCAACAGAGCAUACAAGCCACAGACGGUCUUGUGUCCAGCUCUUUGGGAAGCUAAGAAACAACUCGCUCUCCACAGUGCGCUUACA
Long non-coding RNA from Equus caballus (horse), 2727 nucleotides. Lineage: Eukaryota; Metazoa; Chordata; Mammalia; Perissodactyla; Equidae. The record is from Ensembl.